ACGGGCCCGCACAAGCAGCGGAGCGUGUGGUUUAAUUCGUUGCUACACGAAGAACCUUACCUGGGUUUGACAUAAUGGUGGUAGGGAUCCGAAAGGUGACCGACCUUCGGGGAGCCAUUUACAGGUGUUGCAUGGCUGUCGUCAGCUCGUGUCGUGAGAUGUUCGGUUAAGUCCGCUAACGAGCGCAACCCUCGCUGUGUGUUAUAUGUGUCACACAGGACUGCUGGUAUUAAGCCGGAGGAAGGUGGGACGACGUCAAGUCAGCAUGACCUUUAUAUCCAGGGCUACACACACGCUACAAUGGUCAGUACAAUGGGUUGCCAAGCCGCGAGGCGGAGCCAAUCCUAAAAAGCUGGCCUCAGUUCAGAUUGCAGUCUGAAACUCGACUGCAUGAAGUCGGAGUUGCUAGUAAACGCAGGUCAGCUAUACUGCGUUGAAUACGUUCCCGGGGCUU
Molecule: ribosomal RNA, 454 nt
Filed under: uncultured Anaerolineaceae bacterium
Lineage: Bacteria; Bacillati; Chloroflexota; Anaerolineae; Anaerolineales; Anaerolineaceae
Description: bacterial SSU rRNA
Rfam family: Bacterial small subunit ribosomal RNA
Source: RNAcentral